ACCCCAGCGCAGGGGUGCUGCAUGGAGGACAUGCCUACUGCAGGCUCCCAGCAGGCACUCCUUUUGUCAUGCUAGCUGUAAGACCUGGCAGCUGGCAAACACAUUCAUAUGCCAUUCAGCCACCCUUGUCAGCUCGCAGGGAAGGAAGCAGAACCUGCAACCUGCAGCCACUAUCACCCCACACCAGAUGCACUGAGAAUGUGGGCAGAGCUUGCUGAACAAUUCAGAACAGUUUAUUGAAUCUGCAGGAAGCCUAAACGCGUCUGGAGGAGAGACCUGCAGAGUAACUGGAAAUUAAAUGUAUUUCUCCCUGCAUCACAGGAUCAUUUGCAGUGGAUGUGUGUAUGUGACAAUGGCAACAACUCUGUUAAUACCUUAUUCCAUUUGAGAAGAAAAGAAACAAGGACAAAAAUCAGAAGUCUCUGAAGAGUUUAAGAAGAGGGCGAAUAACAAAUGCAUUGCAGAUAUUCUUUUAAUGCUCCCAUUUGAUGCAUUCUCUUGAAGCAUGAAAAUGUUUUAAGAACAGUACGUGGGAAAAUUUUGAAUCUGAACCCUGAGAAGAGGAAAAAAGAAGGCUGUCAGGUACUUUAAAGAGAUGAUCUAAACAUUAAAAAUGUCAUUAUAUAUGCUGAAAUAGGUGUACCCAAAACCAACAGCUAAAUUAUUGGGAUGCAAUCACAAAUAUUUAGUUUAUAAAAACAAGAGUGAAAUAUAAUUUUACUGCUGGUGAUAAAACUAAAAAUUAAUAACCUUCAAAUCAUCUUCUACAUGAAUGGAAGUCAUAACAUGAAACAAAACAUUAUCAUUUAUCCUUGAGUCAUGAAGCAGAAAUAAAAGACAACUGAAAGGUUUGAGCCAAUCUUUGCCCCCGGACACAUCACUAGAAUUUCACUGAUGCUGCAGCUAUAACUGUGGGCUAGGUAAGCCUCAAAAUGCAAGAGUUAAGUAGUAUAAUUUCUACUAUAGACUGCAGCUUUGUAAUAAUAGUACUUGCAUCCUGUGUAUGUUACAUGUAUAUGAUUGCUUUUCCUCCAAAGCAGCAUAGCACUGUUCUGGCAAGAAUGGAUGUGGUUGCUGGAAUUGGCCUCUUUCAGUUUCAGUUCUUCUACCACCGACCAACUCUUCUCUAACACCAAAGUAAAAGAUUAUUUUAUUCAUGUGAUGAUUGCAAAUCACGAUAUUAAAAAAGUGUUUCUGAAUAUUAA
Long non-coding RNA from Gallus gallus (chicken), 1205 nucleotides. RefSeq lists it as uncharacterized. The transcript has 2 exons. Lineage: Eukaryota; Metazoa; Chordata; Aves; Galliformes; Phasianidae. The record is from RefSeq and is a predicted model, not a curated record.